UGGGGAAUAUUGCACAAUGGGCGCAAGCCUGAUGCAGCCAUGCCGCGUGUAUGAAGAAGGCCUUCGGGUUGUAAAGUACUUUCAGCGGGGAGGAAGGGAGUAAAGUUAAUACCUUUGCUCAUUGACGUUACCCGCAGAAGAAGCACCGGCUAACUCCGUGCCAGCAGCCGCGGUAAUACGGAGGGUGCAAGCGUUAAUCGGAAUUACUGGGCGUAAAGCGCACGCAGGCGGUUUGUUAAGUCAGAUGUGAAAUCCCCCGGCUCAACCUGGGAACUGCAUCUGAUACUGGCAAGCUUGAGUCUCGUAGAGGGGGGUAGAAUUCCAGGUGUAGCGGUGAAAUGCGUAGAGAUCUGGAGGAAUACCGGUGGCGAAGGCGGCCCCCUGGACGAAGACUGACGCUCAGGUGCGAAAGCGUGGGGAGCAAACAGG
Molecule: ribosomal RNA, 429 nt
Filed under: Chloroflexota bacterium
Lineage: Bacteria; Bacillati; Chloroflexota
Description: Chloroflexi bacterium partial 16S ribosomal RNA
Rfam family: Bacterial small subunit ribosomal RNA
Source: RNAcentral